UGCCAGCAGCCCCGGUAAUACGUAGGGUGCGAGCGUUGUUCGGAAUUACUGAGCGUAAAGGGCGCGCAGGCGGAGGUGCAAGUCGGAGGUGAAAGCCCGGGGCUCAACCCCGGAGGGUCUUUCGAAACUGCAUCUCUAGAGAGGGUCAGGGGCCGGCAGAAUUCCUGGUGUAGAGGUGAAAUUCGUAGAUAUCAGGAGGAAUACCGGUGGCGAAAGCGGCCGGCUGGGGCCACUCUGACGCUGAGGCGCGAAAGCGUGGGGAGCAAACAGGAUUAGAUA
Molecule: ribosomal RNA, 279 nt
Filed under: uncultured bacterium
Lineage: Bacteria
Description: partial 16S ribosomal RNA
Rfam family: Bacterial small subunit ribosomal RNA
Source: RNAcentral